ACGACCCAAGCUAAGGCAGUCUAAUUUCUCUCAGCGAACUUUUCUUUCGCCUAAGUGUAACUUUUGCAUAAUACUCGCAGCAGACAAGCUUAUGAAUGAUGGCGUUCACAUCGAUGGCAGCCCACUUGGCAGAUGUCCAAAAGCCGAGGAAAUGGUGAGCUCACGAAACAAGCGGCGCCUUGGUCCUUUGCAAUGCUCCCCCCUCCCCCUUCCCACCACCUUUCAAGGACUUUUCCGCAUGCAUUCCCAAGUAGUUGAACAUGGGAGUGCCAUUAUGGGAAGUAAUAAACAAGAAAUGGAAUAACUGAAUUGUUCGGAUAGAAUUGCAGAUGCCCUUUGUCCUGUGAUUAGCAUUUGUUGCACAAGUCGAGUGAGGCACAGCAGUGCACAAAUAUUCAGUGCGAAUCCAAAGAGAUAUAUAAAACAAAGAAUAUCUAUAAGAUAUAAUAGCAAAAAUAAAAAAAAAUACAAAAGUAUAUUUA
Drosophila sechellia is the source of this 482-nucleotide long non-coding RNA. RefSeq lists it as uncharacterized. The record is from RefSeq and is a predicted model, not a curated record. Lineage: Eukaryota; Metazoa; Arthropoda; Insecta; Diptera; Drosophilidae. The transcript is spliced from 3 exons.